RNAcentral lists this ribosomal RNA (253 nucleotides) under uncultured bacterium. RNAcentral's name for it is "partial 16S ribosomal RNA". It matches the Rfam family "Bacterial small subunit ribosomal RNA", at positions 524 to 776 of the family's 1533-position model. The record is from RNAcentral.
UACGUAGGGUGCAAGCGUUGUCCGGAAUUAUUGGGCGUAAAGAGCUCGUAGGCGGUCUGUCACGUCGGAUGUGAAAACUCGGGGCUCAACCCCGAGCCUGCAUUCGAUACGGGCAGACUUGAGUUCGGCAGGGGAGACUGGAAUUCCUGGUGUAGCGGUGAAAUGCGCAGAUAUCAGGAGGAACACCGGUGGCGAAGGCGGGUCUCUGGGCCGAUACUGACGCUGAGGAGCGAAAGUGUGGGGAGCGAACAGG